RNAcentral lists this ribosomal RNA (466 nucleotides) under uncultured bacterium. RNAcentral describes it as "partial 16S ribosomal RNA". It matches the Rfam family "Bacterial small subunit ribosomal RNA", at positions 28 to 507 of the family's 1533-position model. The record is from RNAcentral.
GAUGAACGCUGGCGGCGUGCUUAACACAUGCAAGUCGAACGGAAAGGCUCCUGCUUGCAGGGGUACUCGAGUGGCGAACGGGUGAGUAACACGUGGGUGAUCUGCCCUGCACUUCGGGAUAAGCCUGGGAAACUGGGUCUAAUACCGGAUAGGACGAUGGUUUGGAUGCCAUUGUGGAAAGUUUUUCGGUGUGGGCUGAGCUCGCGGCCUAUCAGCUUGUUGGUGGGGUAAUGGCCUACCAAGGCGUAGACGGGUAGCCGGCCUGAGAGGGUGUACGGCCACAUUGAGACUGAGGGACGGCCCAGACUCCUACGAGAGGCAGAAGUGGGGAAUAUUGCACAAUGGGCGCAAGCCUGAUGCAGCGGCGCCGCGUGGGGGAUGACGGCCUUCGGGUUGUAGACUCCUUUCGCUAGGGACGAAGCGUUUUGUGACGGUACCUGGAGAAGAAGCACCGGCUAACUACGUG